AAAGGACUCUCGCUCGCCUCUUCUUGUGCACAUCCGACACACACACAGACACACAGACGGAGAAGCAGUAGGAGCAGGAGGAGUGGGUUUGCUGUCCGUCUACCGCCUCCACCUUUCCACGCCUUCCUGGAACAGCCGCUUUCGUGUCUCUCUCUCCCUCCCUUUCCUGUGCUCGACCCUUUCACAUCGUCUCGGCACUCGGGCUGUAUUGCCUGUUCCUCCCCCUCCCUCCAAUUUCUUCUGCGUAGCCCCUCCUUCAUCGUCUAUAAGAAUAUUUGCAGACGGGAAGACGACACACACACACACACACACACACACACACACACACACACACACACACGUACAAAAAUGCCGAGCGGCCCCAAGAAUAACAAGUACAUCAACCGCCACAGCGAGGAGGCGCGGCUGCGCGAUGAGGAGCGGCGCAUCGACUCCCGCGCGGCCCGCGAGGCGGCGAAGGAGGACGCGCGGUGGUCCGAGACGGACCCGAAGGUGUUGAAGAAGAUGGAGAAGAAGCGAGAGAUGGAGCAGAAGCAGGAGGCGAAGGCCACCCGUGACGCCGAGAAGAGGGAGCAGCUGGAGGAAGAGGAGCGGGAGAUGAAUGUGAAGGUGCCCAAGAAGGUGGCCCAGCGCCAAAUCCAGAAGGACUUGGCGAAGAUGCUGGCAGACUACGACAAAGAGCGCACCGCCCUUCGAGGCGGCCAGCAUGGCGCGGUGGUCAAGCCGGAGAAGACGGAGGAGGCGCCGCUACCGUCUGGCAACGUGAACCGCGAACGGGGCGUGACUCUGCACGCGGCAGCGGAACAGGAGAGCAACACCAUCAAAGCCUCUGGAACCGUGGCUGAUGUGGUGGCGGCCUUGGAGAAGGGCGGCAAUGCCAGCGGCUCUGCUGAGAUACCUGACAACCGCCAUAUCGGCAAGCGUGCCAAGGUGCUCUAUAAGGCCUUCUACUCAGAGCAUCUGGAGCAGGUGAAGGGGGAGAAGCCGGGCCUUCGUCGCACCCAGUACAACGACAUUAUUUGGGAGAUGUGGCAGAAGAGCCCAACGAAUCCGUUUGUGAUGCGCACCGAGAAGAUCGCGCAUGAGCGGCUGGAAGCGGAGCGGCGGUGGAUGGAGGGUGACUCGGACGGCGAGGACGAGGAGGAAGGGGAGUUCAAGAAUGGCGGCAAGUGUGCGGCCAAGUAGGUGCCUCAGUGAACAGCAUGCGUAGGUCAGAGAGAGAGAGCGUGAGGAGGUGGAGAACGAGAGAGGUACUGCGUGUGGUGUGCUGACACAGUGACGGCUGCAGAUACAGAGAGACACACGCGCGUGCCUAUUCGCAAGCAGCUCGGCCUUUCCCUUGUGGGCGCCUUCUUAUACCCCCUUUUCUUUCUCCUCUUGUGUGUGUUACUUUUUUUUACUGUUGACUUCUCCCUUGACCGUACGCGCAUCGCUCUGUUUCGCUGGCUGCAGCGUCCGCGCGAUGAGUGGCCUCGGACUGUGAUUCUCAUUGCCCGCGCGCCCCUCCUUCUUUUCACACACACACACACACACACACACACAAUAACAGAUGAAGAGCCCUGGUGUCGAGGGAGGAGGAGCCUGCAUGAUUCGAUCCACACCACGUGACAUCUGCCACCGGUACCGUGAUUUCUCUGCGAACCGGCUGCGGUCAGGCGGUAGGAAGGGUGGGGUGGGGUGGGGGCGUCAAGUGAGCCUCCCCUUCCCGUGUCUCUCUUCCUGCUGCUGCCUCUCCCUUUCUCUCUCUAGCACUGCGACUUCGUUGUUGCGGGCGCACGUGUGUACAGGCGUAUGGGAGAGGUCUCCCCCUCCUUGUCUCCUUAUCUUACCAGAGUCGGCGCUGAUGAGUUCCUUUGUUUGCUUCCUCUUC
RNAcentral lists this unclassified non-coding RNA (1870 nucleotides) under Leishmania donovani. RNAcentral's name for it is "gene:LdHU3.13.0570(CDS-product:Protein_of_unknown _function_(DUF1014)_putative)". The record is from RNAcentral. Lineage: Eukaryota; Euglenozoa; Kinetoplastea; Trypanosomatida; Trypanosomatidae.